Molecule: ribosomal RNA, 301 nt
Filed under: uncultured bacterium
Lineage: Bacteria
Description: bacterial SSU rRNA
Rfam family: Bacterial small subunit ribosomal RNA
Source: RNAcentral
AUUGAACGCUGGCGGCAGGCCUAACACAUGCAAGUCGAGCGCGAAAACACUUCGGUGUGAGUAGAGCGGCGGACGGGUGAGUAAUGCUUGGGAAUCUGCCCAGUAGUGGGGGAUAACGUGUGGAAACGCACGCUAAUACCGCAUACGUCCUACGGGAGAAAGCAGGGGAUCUUCGGACCUUGCGCUAUUGGAUGAGCCCAAGUCGGAUUAGCUAGUUGGUGGGGUAAUGGCCUACCAAGGCGACGAUCCGUAGCUGGUCUGAGAGGAUGAUCAGCCACACUGGGACUGAGACACGGCCCAG